This 2816-nucleotide ribosomal RNA is filed under the name Klebsiella pneumoniae. RNAcentral describes it as "partial 23S ribosomal RNA". It matches the Rfam family "Bacterial large subunit ribosomal RNA". RNAcentral also lists the same sequence under 1 other name. The record is from RNAcentral. Lineage: Bacteria; Pseudomonadati; Pseudomonadota; Gammaproteobacteria; Enterobacterales; Enterobacteriaceae.
GGUUAAGCGACUAAGCGUACACGGUGGAUGCCCUGGCAGUCAGAGGCGAUGAAGGACGUGCUAAUCUGCGAAAAGCGUCGGUAAGGUGAUAUGAACCGUUAUAACCGGCGAUGUCCGAAUGGGGAAACCCAGUGCAAUUCGUUGCACUAUCGUUAACUGAAUACAUAGGUUAACGAGGCGAACCGGGGGAACUGAAACAUCUAAGUACCCCGAGGAAAAGAAAUCAACCGAGAUUCCCCCAGUAGCGGCGAGCGAACGGGGAGCAGCCCAGAGUCUGAAUCAGCUUGUGUGUUAGUGGAACGGUCUGGAAAGUCCGACGGUACAGGGUGAUAGUCCCGUACACCAAAAUGCACAGGUUGUGAACUCGAAGAGUAGGGCGGGACACGUGGUAUCCUGUCUGAAUAUGGGGGGACCAUCCUCCAAGGCUAAAUACUCCUGACUGACCGAUAGUGAACCAGUACCGUGAGGGAAAGGCGAAAAGAACCCCGGCGAGGGGAGUGAAAAAGAACCUGAAACCGUGUACGUACAAGCAGUGGGAGCACCUUCGGGUGUGACUGCGUACCUUUUGUAUAAUGGGUCAGCGACUUAUAUUCUGUAGCAAGGUUAACCGUAUAGGGGAGCCGCAGGGAAACCGAGUCUUAACUGGGCGUUAAGUUGCAGGGUAUAGACCCGAAACCCGGUGAUCUAGCCAUGGGCAGGUUGAAGGUUGGGUAACACUAACUGGAGGACCGAACCGACUAAUGUUGAAAAAUUAGCGGAUGACUUGUGGCUGGGGGUGAAAGGCCAAUCAAACCGGGAGAUAGCUGGUUCUCCCCGAAAGCUAUUUAGGUAGCGCCUCGUGAACUCAUCUUCGGGGGUAGAGCACUGUUUCGGCUAGGGGGUCAUCCCGACUUACCAACCCGAUGCAAACUACGAAUACCGAAGAAUGUUAUCACGGGAGACACACGGCGGGUGCUAACGUCCGUCGUGAAGAGGGAAACAACCCAGACCGCCAGCUAAGGUCCCAAAGUCAUGGUUAAGUGGGAAACGAUGUGGGAAGGCACAGACAGCCAGGAUGUUGGCUUAGAAGCAGCCAUCAUUUAAAGAAAGCGUAAUAGCUCACUGGUCGAGUCGGCCUGCGCGGAAGAUGUAACGGGGCUAAACCAUGCACCGAAGCUGCGGCAGCGACACUAUGUGUUGUUGGGUAGGGGAGCGUUCUGUAAGCCUGCGAAGGUGACCUGUGAGGGUUGCUGGAGGUAUCAGAAGUGCGAAUGCUGACAUAAGUAACGAUAAAGCGGGUGAAAAGCCCGCUCGCCGGAAGACCAAGGGUUCCUGUCCAACGUUAAUCGGGGCAGGGUGAGUCGACCCCUAAGGCGAGGCCGAAAGGCGUAGUCGAUGGGAAACAGGUUAAUAUUCCUGUACUUGGUGUUACUGCGAAGGGGGGACGGAGAAGGCUAUGUUAGCCGGGCGACGGUUGUCCCGGUUUAAGCAUGUAGGCUGGUUGUCCAGGCAAAUCCGGAUAAUCAAGGCUGAGGUGUGAUGACGAGGCACUACGGUGCUGAAGUAACAAAUGCCCUGCUUCCAGGAAAAGCCUCUAAGCAUCAGGUAACAUCAAAUCGUACCCCAAACCGACACAGGUGGUCAGGUAGAGAAUACCAAGGCGCUUGAGAGAACUCGGGUGAAGGAACUAGGCAAAAUGGUGCCGUAACUUCGGGAGAAGGCACGCUGGUGUGUAGGUGAAGUCCCUGCGGAUGGAGCUGAGACCAGUCGAAGAUACCAGCUGGCUGCAACUGUUUAUUAAAAACACAGCACUGUGCAAACACGAAAGUGGACGUAUACGGUGUGACGCCUGCCCGGUGCCGGAAGGUUAAUUGAUGGGGUUAUCCGUAAGGAGAAGCUCUUGAUCGAAGCCCCGGUAAACGGCGGCCGUAACUAUAACGGUCCUAAGGUAGCGAAAUUCCUUGUCGGGUAAGUUCCGACCUGCACGAAUGGCGUAAUGAUGGCCAGGCUGUCUCCACCCGAGACUCAGUGAAAUUGAACUCGCUGUGAAGAUGCAGUGUACCCGCGGCAAGACGGAAAGACCCCGUGAACCUUUACUAUAGCUUGACACUGAACAUUGAGCCUUGAUGUGUAGGAUAGGUGGGAGGCUUUGAAGCGUGGACGCCAGUCUGCGUGGAGCCAACCUUGAAAUACCACCCUUUAAUGUUUGAUGUUCUAACGUUGGCCCCUUACCGGGGUUGCGGACAGUGUCUGGUGGGUAGUUUGACUGGGGCGGUCUCCUCCCAAAGCGUAACGGAGGAGCACGAAGGUUAGCUAAUCCUGGUCGGACAUCAGGAGGUUAGUGCAAUGGCAUAAGCUAGCUUGACUGCGAGCGUGACGGCGCGAGCAGGUGCGAAAGCAGGUCAUAGUGAUCCGGUGGUUCUGAAUGGAAGGGCCAUCGCUCAACGGAUAAAAGGUACUCCGGGGAUAACAGGCUGAUACCGCCCAAGAGUUCAUAUCGACGGCGGUGUUUGGCACCUCGAUGUCGGCUCAUCACAUCCUGGGGCUGAAGUAGGUCCCAAGGGUAUGGCUGUUCGCCAUUUAAAGUGGUACGCGAGCUGGGUUUAGAACGUCGUGAGACAGUUCGGUCCCUAUCUGCCGUGGGCGCUGGAGAAUUGAGGGGGGCUGCUCCUAGUACGAGAGGACCGGAGUGGACGCAUCACUGGUGUUCGGGUUGUCAUGCCAAUGGCACUGCCCGGUAGCUAAAUGCGGAAGAGAUAAGUGCUGAAAGCAUCUAAGCACGAAACUUGCCCCGAGAUGAGUUCUCCCUGAGACUUUAAGUCUCCUGAAGGAACGUU